Long non-coding RNA from Mirounga angustirostris (Northern elephant seal), 10053 nucleotides. RefSeq lists it as uncharacterized. The transcript has 7 exons. Lineage: Eukaryota; Metazoa; Chordata; Mammalia; Carnivora; Phocidae. The record is from RefSeq and is a predicted model, not a curated record.
GGGUGAGGGUGAGGGUGAGGGUGAGGGUGAGGGUGAGGGUGAGGGUCCCGUCCGUCCCUCCCUCCUUCCCUAUGUCCAUCACAUUGUUUCGUCACAGAUUUUCGAAGUGGAGAUACAAUUCGCAUGCCAUAUUUCGCAUACUCUUAAAAGUGGGCCAUUGGGUGGCCUUUUUUUCUUUUUUUUUAAGGUGGCUCACAAAGCUGCACAACCUUCACUGCAAUUUCCAGAACAUUUCCAUCACCGCCAAAAGAAAUAAACACCUCUACUACCCCUCCCCCCUUCCUGUCCGCGCCUCGCCCCCACCCGCCGUCACCGUCGCCCUCGCCGUCACCGUCGCCCUCGCCCUCACCCGGGCUCUCUUCACUGUUCUCCCCCAACAGGGAGUAGAAAGGGAAGUUAGAGGGAACAUUCUUCCUCCCCUACACCUGCUGAACGCACAUGGACACACACCGCAACCCUCCCCGCCAGGCGCGCGCACCCACCCACCCCCGCCCCGCCAAGCCCCGCCCCGCCACGCCACGCCACGCCACGCCCCCCAUCCCGGCCUUACGUGUACCUUACGUACCUCUGCACGGACUCGAGAUUUGGCAAUAGCCUUGAUUGCCCUGCAAUGUUUCCAAACCUCGGCGCUCCCCAACCUUCCCCACCCCGACCCCCGCCCCUUCGAAGAAGAACUAACCUAAUUCGGGGAGCUUCCAGGUUGCUUGAACGCCUGAAAUGGUGGGGACAGAGGCGUUCCUGGAGAGGGGUCACGGAACACGGAAGCUCUGCCCCCCUUCCCUUUGCCUCUGUUCCAUCUGGAGUUUCCUCAGUUGUAUCCUUUUAGGACACAGCGGUCAUGUAAGAAAUGAGAAAAAAAAGGACUGAAGGACUGAACCGGGCUAGACUGGUUUAAAAUUCUUCACUAGCGUCCAUGCCGAAUACAUUUCGACGACAGGGGCCUUCGCACGGCUUUUGGUGCACAGAAGACCGAUGCACCGAAGCCUGCCGAUCUCGGGACGUGUCCACGAGGGGAAAGAGUGUCAGCCUAUCGGAAAAGAGAGUCGGUUAACGUAGAUUGCAAAGGCAUUCGUUCAUCCCGAGAGACUUCCUCUCCAUGAUGGCGGGUGGCGCGAGAUGGAAGAGUUGGCUUCCAUGAAAAAGGGGCCCUUUCUUGAAGACCCUGCCCAGCUAUCGGGGUUUUGUUGGUUUGUGUUUUGUCAUCUGUGAUAGGAAGGCAUCUUCUUAGCCAUCGGGAGGGAAACCUCAACAAAUUCAGCCAUUCAGAUCACAAGGGAUUUCUUGGGUUUGGUGGAUCUGAGAUCUGGUCUGCCUCCGACUGCUCCCCGAGAUUGCCUUUAUGCCGAGAAUGGGAUUCCUCAUCAGACACACAGAAGUCCGGCUCCUUGCCACGGAGCUGGCUGCUCUAUGGAUGCCUUUAAAAAGGAAGCCUGCCUUUAAUUCGGACGUCGGAACGUGAUCGGUCGCUUUUUCAUGGGGGGUUGGCCAAUUAAAUUUCCCCCGCCUUGGGCGCCUGGGUGGCUCAGUUGGUUAAGCGGCUGCCUUCGGCUCCGGUCAUGAUCCUGGAGUCCCUGGAUCGAGUCCCGCAUCGGGCUCCCUGCUCAGCAGGGAGUCUGCUUCUCCCUCUGACCCUCCCCCCUCUCAUGUGCUCUCUCUCAUUCAUUCUCUCUCUCUCUCUCUCUCUCUCUCUCUCUCUGUCUCAAAUAAAUAAACAAACAAACAAACAAACAAAUAAAUAAAUAAAUAAAAUCUUAAAAAAAAAAAAUUCCCCCCGCCUUACAAAGCAGAGACUGGUGAAGGGUCCUCCAAGUGCCCUCUGGAAAUCAAGAGCUUCUGUAUCAAGAGGCUGGAAAACGCAUCUUCCCCUUCUUCCUGGUGAAUCCAAUUCUAGGGGUUGAUUCAAAGGAAAUCAUGUUUUAGAUGCUAAAACGUAAAGCUUACUUUUGCAAAAAUGUGCAUCGCGGCAUAGGGUUUAGGAAUCCCUUGUGGCAGACCGACAACCGUGUGUCCCUCACGUCCCGGCACGUGUGCACCCUCACGUCCUAUGACUUCGAUGCUCCUGCUAUCCAGAGGUAGGCUUGAUUGCUCUGUCCCUUGAUUUUGGACCGGGUCUUGGGACUUGUCUUGACCCAAAGAAUAGAGCAGAAGUGACACUUGGCUGGUUUCACAGCCUACACCUGAAGAGGUGGUCUGCCGGCGUUCUCGACCUUCUUGGCAUGCCGUCCUGAGACCUCCACGUAAGAAAGCCAGUCUAGCUGACUGGAGCAUGAGAGGCAUUGACAACAGAGGCAGCCCGGUGCUCGGCGGCACCGACUGCCAGACGUGUGAAAGUUGACCCUCUGGCCGAAAGCCACUGCUUGAGUGAGCCCGGCGUAAACCCGCAGAACCCAAGGGGCCACCCAGGGCAAGCACCAGGAAGUUAUCGAUAAAGAAAUGCUGUUUCGAGCCAUUGCGGUGUUAGGAUGAUGCACCCUGAGGAUCAGCUAGCUGCGCAGCAGCGAUAGAUACCGUGCACACAGAUACACACCACACAACACACCACACCACACCCCCCCCCCACACACACGUGUGCAGAAAACCAAACCAACGAAACAAACCAAAACUCUGUAGAACCCUGCACCAAAUGUUGAGGAAACAACGGCCCACCCUCACAAGAAACACCUGCACGCUACAUGUACAAUGCAUAGGGAGCCUAUACUUGCAAGUGCUUACUUGCAUGGGAAACAUUUCACGAUAACAUGAGUCUCAGAUGGCCCAAGCGGGGUUCUUUUGACAUGUCUGAAUUGUGUACACAAUUAGAGAAAGCCUGCUAGGAGACUGGGUGAUCAGAAACUAGGAAGCUCUUUGGUUCCCUCAGUGAAGCCCCGACUUUUGGGGAGGAACCAACACUCAGGGAGAUGCUCUGGUCUUCAUUUGGUUGGUUGGUUGGUUGGUUGGUUGGUUGGUUGGUUGCUGCAGCUUUUGCUAUCUUUGCAUAAAACCGACCCUGUUUCCAUUGGGAAUGGAAAACAACUGACGGGUGGGAUCUGUACACGGUAAUGCUGCUUCGCAGUUGCAUUUGUUUUACUAAAAGAGGGAGAUUUGAACAUUGGGUCUUUCGUGUCCUCUCCAUUCAUGUCCUCUCCACAAAUAAGACUGAAACAAAGGCUAAAAUUUGUUUGCAUCUUGUUUGUGUCUAUGUGUCCGUAUGUGUUAUACAUGUGAGGUAUUUCCUCCACCUCCGGGUGCUAUUGCUAACAUCCAUUUGUAAAGGAGCUCUAUUUAAUGAGUUCUAUUUUUAUUUUAUUUUAUUUUAUUUUAUUUAUUUUAUUCUUUAAAGAUUUUAUUUAUUUAUUUGACAGAGAGAGACACAGCGAGAGAGGGAACACAAGCAGGCGGAGUGGGAGAGGGAGAAGCAGGCUUCCCGCCGAGCAGGGAGCCCGAUGCAGGGGCUUGAUCCCAGGACCCUCGGAUCAUGACCUGAGCUAAAGGCAGACGCUUAACCACUGAGCCAUCCAGUCAAAAUAAUGAAGAAGAGGAGGAAGACAGGCCGAUGCUAGAAAUCUGAAAUCCACUCCUCCUCCUCCCCAAGUACAGGCACCAGAACCGAUGCCCAACCCACUGGCUUCCGGAGGGCUGAAAAGCCACCACAGACAAAGCCUAUUAAGCAGAAGGAGAUGAAGAAAGGGGCGGAGGCGGAGGCGGAGGCGGAGGCGGAGGCGGAGGCGGAGGCGGAGGCGGAGGCGGAGGCGGAGGCGGAGGCGGAGGCGGAGGCGGAGGCGGAGGCGGAGGCGGAGAAGAAAAAAAAGAAAAGGCCCUGCUACCAAAUACUGGCUGUCUCUGCAGAAGUCUGGACUCAAGGUCAACUGAUAAUGGCUGCAGCCUAUGAAGAAGCGAGGUCCUGAUUCCUUACCUGAGAAAAGGAGCCUAAGACCCCAUCCAGGUUGUACCAGCUCUCAGAGCAUGCCCACAGCCUCUUCUCCUUGUCCUCAGAUAACCUCCUGACAUCAGGGACUCAGUUUUGCCUCAUUCAGAUGUCAGGUCUCCACCCCGAAGUAAACAUGGGAAUCUAUGAGAAAUUAGAUCCCAUCCAGCAAGAGCUGAAUCCGAGUCCUCUGCUCACCCCACGACGGAAAAGAAUAUGCACAGGCCUGCAUCCCUCUUCUCCUUCUCCACCAUGUCGGAAGAAAAGAUUUUACUGGACAGAGACACAGCGAGAGAGGGAACGCAAGCAGAGGGAGUGGGAGAGGGAGAAGCGGGCUUCCCGCCGAGCAGGGAGCCCGAUGCGGGGCUCGAUUAUCGGGACCCUGGCACCCUGGCACCCUGGCACCCUGGGAUCAUGACCUGAGCCGAAGGCAGACGCUUAAUGACUGAGCCACCCAGUCGCCCCCCACUUUCCACCUUGACCGUGCCUAGUCGUCCACCCGUCUAGUCCUCUUGGCCGCGCCUGGUCUUGCCCUCGAAUGUGUUCGUCUGGAGCACAGAGCUAGAUCCAGAGAAUGAGAGAAUGAGAUCGAUGGACCCACGGACGGAAAUCAAGUUUCUCUUUCCCUGAAAUGACCUAGGACACUCCUCUUCUAGUCAGCUCCCAUCCUGCUCCCCCACCCCCAACAACCUCUCAUCGGACCUUCCCCUUUUGCCACCAGAAAGCUUUUCCACUCCUCCGCCUGGCCUGCGUUUGCUUGGCGUCUCUGCCAGACCCAGGCGGUGGUGGCCGACCGCAGACUCUCUUGCCCUCAAGAAAUGAUUCCCGCUCUCAUGUGGGUGAUCUUUUAUCUCCACAGAGGUGGCUCACAAAGCUGCACAACCUUCACUGCAAUUUCCAGAACAUUUCCAUCACCGCCAAAAGAAAUAAACACCUCUACUACCCCUCCCCCCUUCCUGUCCGCGCCUCGCCCCCACCCGCCGUCACCGUCGCCCUCGCCGUCACCGUCGCCCUCGCCCUCACCCGGGCUCUCUUCACUGUUCUCCCCCAACAGGGAGUAGAAAGGGAAGUUAGAGGGAACAUUCUUCCUCCCCUACACCUGCUGAACGCACAUGGACACACACCGCAACCCUCCCCGCCAGGCGCGCGCACCCACCCACCCCCGCCCCGCCAAGCCCCGCCCCGCCCCGCCACGCCACGCCACGCCCCCCAUCCCGGCCUUACGUGUACCUUACGUACCUCUGCACGGACUCGAGAUUUGGCAAUAGCCUUGAUUGCCCUGCAAUGUUUCCAAACCUCGGCGCUCCCCAACCUUCCCCACCCCGACCCCCGCCCCUUCGAAGAAGAACUAACCUAAUUCGGGGAGCUUCCAGGUUGCUUGAACGCCUGAAAUGGUGGGGACAGAGGCGUUCCUGGAGAGGGGUCACGGAACACGGAAGCUCUGCCCCCCUUCCCUUUGCCUCUGUUCCAUCUGGAGUUUCCUCAGUUGUAUCCUUUUAGGACACAGCGGUCAUGUAAGAAAUGAGAAAAAAAAGGACUGAAGGACUGAACCGGGCUAGACUGGUUUAAAAUUCUUCACUAGCGUCCAUGCCGAAUACAUUUCGACGACAGGGGCCUUCGCACGGCUUUUGGUGCACAGAAGACCGAUGCACCGAAGCCUGCCGAUCUCGGGACGUGUCCACGAGGGGAAAGAGUGUCAGCCUAUCGGAAAAGAGAGUCGGUUAACGUAGAUUGCAAAGGCAUUCGUUCAUCCCGAGAGACUUCCUCUCCAUGAUGGCGGGUGGCGCGAGAUGGAAGAGUUGGCUUCCAUGAAAAAGGGGCCCUUUCUUGAAGACCCUGCCCAGCUAUCGGGGUUUUGUUGGUUUGUGUUUUGUCAUCUGUGAUAGGAAGGCAUCUUCUUAGCCAUCGGGAGGGAAACCUCAACAAAUUCAGCCAUUCAGAUCACAAGGGAUUUCUUGGGUUUGGUGGAUCUGAGAUCUGGUCUGCCUCCGACUGCUCCCCGAGAUUGCCUUUAUGCCGAGAAUGGGAUUCCUCAUCAGACACACAGAAGUCCGGCUCCUUGCCACGGAGCUGGCUGCUCUAUGGAUGCCUUUAAAAAGGAAGCCUGCCUUUAAUUCGGACGUCGGAACGUGAUCGGUCGCUUUUUCAUGGGGGGUUGGCCAAUUAAAUUUCCCCCGCCUUGGGCGCCUGGGUGGCUCAGUUGGUUAAGCGGCUGCCUUCGGCUCCGGUCAUGAUCCUGGAGUCCCUGGAUCGAGUCCCGCAUCGGGCUCCCUGCUCAGCAGGGAGUCUGCUUCUCCCUCUGACCCUCCCCCCUCUCAUGUGCUCUCUCUCAUUCAUUCUCUCUCUCUCUCUCUCUCUCUCUCUCUCUCUGUCUCAAAUAAAUAAACAAACAAACAAACAAACAAAUAAAUAAAUAAAUAAAAUCUUAAAAAAAAAAAAUUCCCCCCGCCUUACAAAGCAGAGACUGGUGAAGGGUCCUCCAAGUGCCCUCUGGAAAUCAAGAGCUUCUGUAUCAAGAGGCUGGAAAACGCAUCUUCCCCUUCUUCCUGGUGAAUCCAAUUCUAGGGGUUGAUUCAAAGGAAAUCAUGUUUUAGAUGCUAAAACGUAAAGCUUACUUUUGCAAAAAUGUGCAUCGCGGCAUAGGGUUUAGGAAUCCCUUGUGGCAGACCGACAACCGUGUGUCCCUCACGUCCCGGCACGUGUGCACCCUCACGUCCUAUGACUUCGAUGCUCCUGCUAUCCAGAGGUAGGCUUGAUUGCUCUGUCCCUUGAUUUUGGACCGGGUCUUGGGACUUGUCUUGACCCAAAGAAUAGAGCAGAAGUGACACUUGGCUGGUUUCACAGCCUACACCUGAAGAGGUGGUCUGCCGGCGUUCUCGACCUUCUUGGCAUGCCGUCCUGAGACCUCCACGUAAGAAAGCCAGUCUAGCUGACUGGAGCAUGAGAGGCAUUGACAACAGAGGCAGCCCGGUGCUCGGCGGCACCGACUGCCAGACGUGUGAAAGUUGACCCUCUGGCCGAAAGCCACUGCUUGAGUGAGCCCGGCGUAAACCCGCAGAACCCAAGGGGCCACCCAGGGCAAGCACCAGGAAGUUAUCGAUAAAGAAAUGCUGUUUCGAGCCAUUGCGGUGUUAGGAUGAUGCACCCUGAGGAUCAGCUAGCUGCGCAGCAGCGAUAGAUACCGUGCACACAGAUACACACCACACAACACACCACACCACACCCCCCCCACACACACACGUGUGCAGAAAACCAAACCAACGAAACAAACCAAAACUCUGUAGAACCCUGCACCAAAUGUUGAGGAAACAACGGCCCACCCUCACAAGAAACACCUGCACGCUACAUGUACAAUGCAUAGGGAGCCUAUACUUGCAAGUGCUUACUUGCAUGGGAAACAUUUCACGAUAACAUGAGUCUCAGAUGGCCCAAGCGGGGUUCUUUUGACAUGUCUGAAUUGUGUACACAAUUAGAGAAAGCCUGCUAGGAGACUGGGUGAUCAGAAACUAGGAAGCUCUUUGGUUCCCUCAGUGAAGCCCCGACUUUUGGGGAGGAACCAACACUCAGGGAGAUGCUCUGGUCUUCAUUUGGUUGGUUGGUUGGUUGGUUGGUUGGUUGGUUGGUUGCUGCAGCUUUUGCUAUCUUUGCAUAAAACCGACCCUGUUUCCAUUGGGAAUGGAAAACAACUGACGGGUGGGAUCUGUACACGGUAAUGCUGCUUCGCAGUUGCAUUUGUUUUACUAAAAGAGGGAGAUUUGAACAUUGGGUCUUUCGUGUCCUCUCCAUUCAUGUCCUCUCCACAAAUAAGACUGAAACAAAGGCUAAAAUUUGUUUGCAUCUUGUUUGUGUCUAUGUGUCCGUAUGUGUUAUACAUGUGAGGUAUUUCCUCCACCUCCGGGUGCUAUUGCUAACAUCCAUUUGUAAAGGAGCUCUAUUUAAUGAGUUCUAUUUUUAUUUUAUUUUAUUUUAUUUUAUUUAUUUUAUUCUUUAAAGAUUUUAUUUAUUUAUUUGACAGAGAGAGACACAGCGAGAGAGGGAACACAAGCAGGCGGAGUGGGAGAGGGAGAAGCAGGCUUCCCGCCGAGCAGGGAGCCCGAUGCAGGGGCUUGAUCCCAGGACCCUCGGAUCAUGACCUGAGCUAAAGGCAGACGCUUAACCACUGAGCCAUCCAGUCAAAAUAAUGAAGAAGAGGAGGAAGACAGGCCGAUGCUAGAAAUCUGAAAUCCACUCCUCCUCCUCCCCAAGUACAGGCACCAGAACCGAUGCCCAACCCACUGGCUUCCGGAGGGCUGAAAAGCCACCACAGACAAAGCCUAUUAAGCAGAAGGAGAUGAAGAAAGGGGCGGAGGCGGAGGCGGAGGCGGAGGCGGAGGCGGAGGCGGAGGCGGAGGCGGAGGCGGAGGCGGAGGCGGAGGCGGAGGCGGAGGCGGAGGCGGAGGCGGAGGCGGAGGCGGAGAAGAAAAAAAAGAAAAGGUUCGUCCAAAACUGUAAAUGUAUAUGUGCCCUGGGCCUUACCAAUGGCUCCCUUGCCGCCUCCCCUGCCCCGUUUCUGCACCACUGGUGUGUGUGCCUGGAGUGCUCUACUCCCCUGCCGCCGUCUCAGCCGCCCUUCCCUACCCCCGCCCCCCCGCCCCCCCCCCCCCGGGUGCCAUGGGCUCCCCUUUCUCCUCCUCCUCCUCCUCCUCCUCCCCACCCCCUUAUCAAGGAGCAAAAGCCCUUGCCCUUGGGCCCAAGCCCUUGGGCCACCUCCUUAUGAGGUUUAAAUUGGAGCACCUCCCAAACUAGCAGGAAGGGGCCCGAGGGCUCCGCUGAUCUUAGACCGCCCGCUUCAGACUUUCCCCAAGGAGUCUGAUGGGGGAAAACAAUCGAUUGACUUUUUAGUGGACGCAGGUGCAACUUCUUUGGCGUUAAAGCCAAUUCAAGGUUGUUGGUUUAUUUUAAAAAGACGUGGUUUUGGAGCUAUCAAUGUCACACAUAAUACAAAUAAUCAACUUUGCGUUUCUUUCUUUCUUUCUUUCUUUCUUUCUUUCUUUCUUUCUUUCUUUCUUUCUUUCUUUCUUUCCUUUUUCUUUCUUUCUUUCUUUCUUUCUUUCUUUCUUUCUUUCUUUCCUUUUCUUUCUUUUCUUUGUCAUAAAAGCACUUGGAUUCGGUUCUCCCUGCGUUACAAGCCGUUGGGUGGGCAGUGGAAUGUGCCACGCUCCCGUCACAACAGUGAGCCUGUAUUUGUGGUUAUCAAAAUAUACCUCUCCAUCACCUUUAUAAAAACCAACCAACCAACCAACCACGUUUGGGUGCCUGGGUGGCUCAGUCGUUCAGCGUCUGCCUUCGGCUCAGGUCAUGAUCCCAGGGUCCUGGGAUCGAGCCCCGCAUUGGGCUCCCUGUUCAUUGGGGAACCUUCUUUUCCCUCUGUCCCUUCCCCUGCUUGUGUUCCCUCUCUCGCUGUGUCUCUCUCUGUCAAAUAAAUAAAAUUUAUGAAAUAUAUUCAUACAUUUGCCAAUCUAAAGAAUUCUGGUGUAAUAGAGAGUGCGCCAUUGGUUACUACUAACGUUUCACCAGAGACUGAGAUUUCUAAGAAUUAAAAUUCUGCCACAUGGAAUUGGGACUGCUACAAAAUGAUAACAAAAACAACUCCGUGUGUGGGAAGGUAGGAGACGUGUAAAAGAGGUACAAGAAAUGAGAAAACAUUUUUUUUGUUGAGGGAAAAGGAAGUAAUGGUGUACUGAAACGGGACUGGGUACUUAAAGAAAGAAAACUUUAAGACCGAGUCUGAAUGAAAAAGGAAAUUGUGGAAGGGGUUUGUGAAGGAGAAUUUUUGAAAAGGAAUUUUAUGCAUGGUCAGGACUGACUGAGCUUGGGAGAAGGCAGUUUGAAAAGCACACUGGUGGAACUGGAGGGUAUUAUGUUGAGCGAAAUAAGUCAAACAGAGAAAGACAUGUAUCCUAUGAUCUCACGGAUAGGAGGAAUUCUUAAUCGCAGGAAACAAGCUGAGGGUUGCUGGAGUGGGGGGUGGGGUGGGAGGGAUGGGGUGACUGGCUGAUAGACACUGGGGAGGGUAGGUGCUCUGGCAAGCGCUGUGAAUUGUGCAAGACUGUUGAAUCUCAGAUCUGUACCUCUGAAACAAAUAACGCAAUCUAUGUGAAGAAGAAAAA